This 473-nucleotide ribosomal RNA is filed under the name uncultured delta proteobacterium. Its description in RNAcentral is "bacterial SSU rRNA". It matches the Rfam family "Bacterial small subunit ribosomal RNA", at positions 400 to 863 of the family's 1533-position model. The record is from RNAcentral. Lineage: Bacteria; Deltaproteobacteria.
UGUGAGUGAUGAAGGUUUUCGGAUCGUAAAGCUCUGUCGGGUGGAAAGAAUAAAGGCUGUGUAAAUAAUGCAGUCUGAUGACGGUACCACCAAAGGAAGCACCGGCUAACUCCGUGCCAGCAGCCGCGGUAAUACGGAGGGUGCAAGCGUUGUUCGGAAUUAUUGGGCGUAAAGGGCGUGUAGGCGGGUAUGCAGGUCAGAUGUGAAAUCCCCCGGCUCAACCGGGGAAGUGCAUUUGAAACCGCAUAUCUUGAGUACGAGAGAGGCAGAUGGAAUUCCCAGUGUAGAGGUGAAAUUCAUAGAUAUUGGGAAGAACACCGGUGGCGAAAGCGGUCUGCUGGCUCGAUACUGACGCUGAGACGCGAAAGCGUGGGGAGCAAACAGGAUUAGAUACCCUGGUAGUCCACGCCGUAAACGAUGUGCACUAGGUGUUGGGGGUAAUUAAACCUUCAGUGCCGCAGCUAACGCAUUAA